This is a non-coding RNA of Paramuricea clavata, 136 nucleotides long. NCBI's taxonomy places the organism in Eukaryota, Metazoa, Cnidaria, Anthozoa, Malacalcyonacea, Plexauridae. The record is from the annotation of a GenBank genome assembly.
GAUAGCCUGCACGCAGACUAUAUAAUGACAUAUAUAUAUAUAUAUAUAUAUAUAUAUAUAUAUAUAUAUAUAUAUAUAUAUAUAUAUAUAUAUAUAUAUAUAUAUAUAUCAUUAUAUAGUCUGCGCGCAGGCAUAG